This 253-nucleotide ribosomal RNA is filed under the name uncultured bacterium. RNAcentral's name for it is "partial 16S ribosomal RNA". It matches the Rfam family "Bacterial small subunit ribosomal RNA", at positions 524 to 776 of the family's 1533-position model. The record is from RNAcentral.
UACGUAGGUGGCAAGCGUUGUCCGGAUUUACUGGGCGUAAAGGGCGUGCAGGCGGUCUGUUAAGUGCAGGGUGAAAGCUCCCGGCUCAACUGGGAGAGGUCCUUGCAUACUGGCGGACUUGAGGGGGGUAGAGGAAAGUGGAAUUCCCGGUGUAGUGGUGAUAUGCGUAGAUAUCGGGAGGAACACCUGUGGCGAAGGCGGCUUUCUGGGCCCUACCUGACGCUGAGGCACGAAGGUCAGGGGAGCAAACGGG